Molecule: ribosomal RNA, 254 nt
Filed under: uncultured bacterium
Lineage: Bacteria
Description: partial 16S ribosomal RNA
Rfam family: Bacterial small subunit ribosomal RNA
Source: RNAcentral
UACGUAGGGGGCGAGCGUUGUCCGGAUUUAUUGGGCGUAAAGAGCUCGUAGGCGGUUUGUCGCGUCUGCCGUGAAACCCGAGGCUCAACCUCGGGCCUGCAGUGGGUACGGGCAGACUAGAGUGCGGUAGGGGGAGAUUGGAAUUCCUGGUGUAGCGGUGGAAUGCGCAGAUAUCGAGGAGGAACACCAAUGGCGAAGGCAGAUCUCUGGGCCGUAACUGACGCUGAGGAGCGAAAGCAUGGGGAGCGAACAGG